AUAUUACAUUUUAUUACGUUUUCUUACGUUCUAAUGUCGUAGGUCAGGGAAAUUAAGAAAUAUUAAUUUAAAGCAUUUAAUCUAUUACAACUCACUAAAUGUUAUUGUUUUGAAAGUCUUCACAAAGAUUCGUAUAUGAAAUUAAAACGGUCAUUGAAAGACAGUUAAAUUGAAAAAAAAACAAAAUAAU
Molecule: long non-coding RNA, 190 nt
Organism: Leptopilina boulardi
Lineage: Eukaryota; Metazoa; Arthropoda; Insecta; Hymenoptera; Figitidae
Exons: 2
Source: RefSeq, a predicted model, not a curated record